CCUACGGGCGGCAGCAGUGAGGAAUAUUGGUCAAUGGCCGGAAGGCUGAACCAGCCAUGCCGCGUGAAGGUCAGUGCCCUAUGGGCGUUAAACUUCUUUUGUGCGGGAGCAAUAAUGGUCACGUGUGGCCAGACGAGAGUACCGUACGAAUAAGCAUCGGCUAACUCCGUGCCAGCAGCCGCGGUAAUACGGGGGAUGCAAGCGUUAUCCGGAUUUAUUGGGUUUAAAGGGUGCGUAGGCUGUGAGGUAAGUCAGCGGUGAAAUGCCCCCGCGCAACGGGGUGAAGUGCCAUUGAUACUGCCUGGCUGGAAUGCGGAUGCCGUGGGAGGAAUGUGUGGUGUAGCGGUGAAAUGCAUAGAUAUCACACAGAACACCGAUUGCGAAGGCAUCUCACGAAUCCGCGAUUGACGCUGAUGCACGAAAGCGUGGGUAUCAAACAGGAUUAGAUACCCCAGUAGUC
Molecule: ribosomal RNA, 460 nt
Filed under: uncultured bacterium
Lineage: Bacteria
Description: partial 16S ribosomal RNA
Rfam family: Bacterial small subunit ribosomal RNA
Source: RNAcentral